Long non-coding RNA from Asparagus officinalis (garden asparagus), 292 nucleotides. RefSeq lists it as uncharacterized. The record is from RefSeq and is a predicted model, not a curated record. The transcript is spliced from 3 exons. Lineage: Eukaryota; Viridiplantae; Streptophyta; Magnoliopsida; Asparagales; Asparagaceae.
UAGAAUCCAGUCAGGUUUAGAACAGGCACAAGAAAAGAAAGAAAGGAAGAAACGCAUAUGUAGCAGAUGUGGUGAACUCGGGCAUUAUAGAACUAGCUGUAAAGUUAACUUGCAAAGCUAAACAUAUGCACGGGUGGUGGAUGUGUUGGUUUGUUCACAAAGUCAUAUCUCAUGAUUAAUCGCUACCACUAACACAGGAAAGAGCACAAUCAGCUCAGGUUCAUCCACAACUCUGCCUUGGCCCCUCAAGCAAUCCAUGAGCAGAACUGAUUCAAGUGAUGCGCAUUUUGUA